UAAACCUUCUCUGAUUCUUCAAGUUCCACGAUGGUCCAAAGCGGCGUAGCUGCUUUGCAUGUUCAACCUGGUCCUCGAAACUUCUCGAACGAAUAAGAACACGAGCAGUCGGGCUCAGCGUGCGUGCCUUUAAGAGAAGGCCGCAGGGGAUCUGGGCAGCAGUUUUGGGCGAUGCCGGGCCUGUAGCUCAGUUGGUUAGAGCGCACCCCUGAUAAGGGUGAGGUCGGUAGUUCGAAUCUACCCAGGCCCACCAUCUAGCUUCAAAACUAUUCUGUGGUUACAGGGAAUGGGGCUGUAGCUCAGCUGGGAGAGCACCUGCUUUGCAAGCAGGGGGUCAGGAGUUCGAUCCUCCUCAGCUCCACCAUGUUCGCCCGUUUGAGCUGCCUGAAGUUGGGUGUCUAAGUUUUGCUUAGGCUUCGAACUUUGGGCAGGGCUUGAAUCGCACGUUGAUUUAAGCUUUGUUCGAUUCGCCCCAGGGCGAGCAUAGGCUCGAGAGUCUAUGUCUGAGAUGUUUGACAACGAAAUCGAUUGGGUAAAUACAUUACAAGGCUGAGCAACACCUUUGUCCUCAGGUUCGUACCUGGGAGACAGAGAGGUUGGUUAGUUGAGUGUCUUUAGAAUAUCUUGCGACUCUUUCUUGCAAGUUAAGAAGGGUCGCUAUGGCGAAUUACAUAUUGUUGACUCCUGCGUGGAGUUAAUUCUAUGGUCAAGCUACUAAGGGCGCAC
RNAcentral lists this transfer RNA (726 nucleotides) under uncultured bacterium. Its description in RNAcentral is "partial may contain 16S ribosomal RNA, 16S-23S ribosomal RNA intergenic spacer, and 23S ribosomal RNA". The stretch from base 177 to 250 matches the Rfam family "tRNA". The record is from RNAcentral.